UCUGAGUCCCUGAGGCUGUCCCAA
RNAcentral lists this unclassified non-coding RNA (24 nucleotides) under Mus musculus (house mouse). RNAcentral's name for it is "oocyte_clustered_small_RNA11734". Lineage: Eukaryota; Metazoa; Chordata; Mammalia; Rodentia; Muridae. The record is from RNAcentral.